This is a long non-coding RNA of Myotis daubentonii (Daubenton's bat), 1478 nucleotides long. RefSeq lists it as uncharacterized. The record is from RefSeq and is a predicted model, not a curated record. NCBI's taxonomy places the organism in Eukaryota, Metazoa, Chordata, Mammalia, Chiroptera, Vespertilionidae.
AGAGGAAGGCGAGCAGGGAGCGGUUGGAGACCCGCAUCGCCCGCCGCAGCACCGACAUCCUCCUCGCGGCCGGCGGCCCGGGCUGCGCUCCGCGGGCCCUAAACUUCCAUGGAUCCCUCUCUGCCAACAGUAACCAGUGAUGCUGGUCUCUUCCUGUUUAAAAACCCGUCUCUACUGCCCCACCCAGGACGCCUGCGUCUCCAGCAGCCUGAAGGAUGCUUCGGGGUCUCCGCUCACUUGUAAACAAAGGGAGAUGAAGCGCUCAGAGCCCAAGAAAGGCCGCCCAAACCUUUUCAAGGGCGUCAUCCGGCACUUUCUCCGGAGCCAGAAGAAAACAUCAAUGACAACAAAAACUGAAAAUGGAAAACCAGUCCUACAAGUUUUGCAGUAAACAUUAAGUCAGAAUAUCAAGUACAAAUAAUAAUACUUUUAUGAUGAAUUGCUAACCUGAAGAACCCAUAGGGCUUGGAGACGUAUGGGAAUGAUAGAACUGGGUAAGCAAAACCAAGAUCCUUUUAGAAAAAUGGUCUUUUUGCAUCAAAAAGAGGCCUGCGCCCUGGGAAUGCCCCCGCGUGCUUCCUCGCGGCUGAUGCUGCCGGGUGGACUUGUGCCAGCUGUGCGGGCAGAGGUCGUCCAGCCGGGGAGGUGAGUGGGGUGCAGCCCGCCAGUGCUCACCUCUGCCCUCGAAGCUGCCCUGGUGCGGGGCAAUUCAGAGGAGAACCCCAACUGCCUUGGAGAUGCGAUGCCUCUUUCUUUCUUUUUUUAAAAUAUAUUCUUAUUGAUCUCAGAGAGGAAGGGGGAUGGAGAGAGAUAGAAACAUCAAUGAUGAGAGAGAAUCACUGAUCAGCUGCACACCCCACACUGGCAUCGAGCCCUCAACCCAGGCAUGUGCCCUGACCGGGAAUCGAAUGUGACCUCCUGGUUCAUAGAUCGACACUCAACCACUGAGCCACACCAGCUGGCCGCAGUGCCUCUUUUUUACACAAAGCAUCCACCCAGUCCCAAAGUGGUAUCUUAAAAAUUCUUACAAAAAUGUGGUCCUGAUGGUUCCUUGUGUCUGUUCUCUUGCCCUUGGCCCUGUUGUCUCAGCUCUUCCCUAAGACUGGAAUCCAGAAAAAAUUCCCAAACAUCCAGCCUCUCUUAAGUCUAGUAAGGUUACUUAAGAUUGGGGGUCGCACUGAGGAAAGAUAAUAUCCCAUCCCACACAAUGUCACAUCAUGUUCAGUUCUUCCCUCAUGUCCCCUCUCUUUCCCCAAAUUCCAAAAUCAUUAUACGUACAUGACUCUACUACUGAUGGGAGCCAUCCCCCAAGCCCUGCCUGUGUACCAGGUUCUGGAGAAUAAAGUUUCUCCAUCUCUCUUCACUCCUUUAGGUCUCUGAGCCUUUGACCGUGGAAUGACUCUCUCCCCUUGCCCACCUGGUAAACUCUUAUUAUUCAUUUUUCAAGCCCUAUUUCAAAAUGAAAGAAAUAGGAUUAA